This 1121-nucleotide long non-coding RNA is filed under the name Chloebia gouldiae (Gouldian finch). RNAcentral's name for it is "Erythrura gouldiae (Gouldian finch) lncRNA (ENSEGOG00005017116.1)". The record is from RNAcentral. Lineage: Eukaryota; Metazoa; Chordata; Aves; Passeriformes; Passeridae.
CAGGAUAGGACAGAUUGUACAGCAUUUUUUGAGGGUCAGAUAUUUCCUCACCACCUUAGAAUCUGUGAGCAGGUUUGUGCUGCAUGAUAUGGUGUAGACUAGAGAUCCAUACACAUCUUCAGAAAGCUCCAGCUUCAGGAGGAGCAUAAAUGAAAAAGCCUGGAGGUCCUGAACCCUGAGCAGAGCUCCCUGAAUCCAGGAGAAACCCAGGAAUUUCAAAAUGUAGCCAAGCUUCAUUUUGACAAGGAGAAUAUUUCUCACCAUGACUGGGGAGGGGCCCAGCCCCUGCAGAACCCAAAUCCAAGGGGCAGUAACUGGGCUGCAGCAAGCAGCUCCUGCCCAGCACCAGUUGAGGGGCUCAGAUGUGACCUUGCUGCCAGUGUGACAGCCUGGGAGGCUUUGUUAGCUGAGCUCUCUGAUAGUAAGUUAGUUACUUUUGUGUUUGUUUGUUUGUUUGUUUGUUUGUGGUUUAUUUUUGUGAAAACUUAAUCUUCUCGUUUAAUUAAAUGGCAUGUUUUUCCUCUGAGCUGAGCUGGCUCCCUGCAGAUGCCCACCAGUCACUUUGCUGCAGGAGAGGUUCCAGUGGCUAAGGGCCAAGUGAUGCUGAUGACUGGAGACCAAAGGAACUAGUAAGAGGAAGACACAUACCUUCAGUUCCCUGAAGUUGUCCGGUGGCCAUCUGUGUGUCCCAGGCAGGCAGAGAAGCAGCCAGUCACUCUCUGCCAGGUCUGUCCAUCCUCAAGUCUGCCCUGUGCCCACCCAGAUCAUCCUCUUCAAGAGCUUUUGCAGGGGAAACCAGUGGAAAUCCUCCUAGGGAUCCAAAGGGAAGGCUUCUCCUUAUCCAUGGUGCCUCCUUCCAGCAAGGGGGUCAUUUCUCUGAGACGCAUGUGUCUGCAUGCUCCAAUAAAUCACAUUUCUCCAGUGUGUAUUAAACCUUUUUUCAGGCUGCAUGGACUGAAUUUGGAUGUAAAAUAACCAGGAUUGCCCCUGGAGCCCCUUUCAGAAGGAUCCCCUACUAGCCAUCUUUUCCUCCUUUGGUGGUAAAGUAGUUUAACUUAUAAUUUAAGAGCAAGAUAAUCAGUACUUCUGUGUUUGAGCUCUUUAGACCUCCCAGGAAAGUG